CGGCUAAUAGAUUUUAUUUUCCCUCUAACUCUCGUCUACUCUCCCUUUCACUUCGUAAUUUCCCUUUUCAAGUAAAUAUAGAAGGACCAGCUCUUCUCCACAUAAGUUACGCCUUCUUCAAUAAUUACAAAUCUGUAUCAUGUUCUCUCCCUUUCACUCCCCGUUUAGAAAUCAAACACUAGGCACUGCCGAAGCAAGAGAGAUCUGUCUCACGCACUUGUCUCUCUCUCUCUCUCUCUCUCUCUCUCUCUCUCUCUCUCUCUAGUUGACCUAAUUAUUUCUCUCUCGCAGACGCAUAGAUCUCUCUUUGUAUCUGCUAGAUCUAUUCGUUUUCUCACAUUUCUAUUGCGAAAUCUGAUGUAAUUUCAGACUUUUAUUUCUUCGUUACAUUUUUAAUUCGUUUACAACUAGGGUUUGGUUUUUUUGAAAUCAUCGAUUUCAGAUCUUCCUGGUGUUUUUUUUUAAAUCAGAUCCGAAGAUCCCGCUUGCAGAUCUAGCAAUCUUUGUACAAUGAUGUGUUUUCAUAUCUGGGUUUGUUGUAAUUCUGGAACAUUGAGAAAGGUAUUGAUCUGGUUGGGUUCAAUUCGUUGAACUUAUGAUGUCUUAUGGGAUUUUUUUGAACGAUGCUAUCUUGUGAGUUAGGUUCCAUGGAGGAUACAAUUUCAGUUUAUUUUCGCUAAAAGAAGAACUAACAAGAUCCGUUUAUUUCCAGUUGAAAUAGAGCCAAGUAAAAAUAUUGGCUUAAUAGAAGUAUAGAAGUGUUACGGUCACGAGCUGUAAAGCUACUCCUUUAGAGUGAUGCUUUUGUUGAAGCCAAACAACUCUCUUUAGAACUCUUUGUUGAUGCAUGUGAGUGUAUGUCAUAGUUAUGAUGAGGAGCUAUAAUCGUAUUAUUGUGUUAUGGACAAAGCAUGAGCUAGGCAGGCCUAGAUAUGAAUCUCGUUGGGAUAUGGGUUGUAGUUCCAAGAUAUUCAUAAUCGUAUUGUUGUGUUAUGGACAAAGCAUGGGUUGUACUUGUUGUCGUUUAAAAGAUGUACUUUACUUUUUAGUUUUAAUAAUCAAAGUUCGGAUUUAUGGCUUUA
Molecule: non-coding RNA, 1082 nt
Organism: Camelina sativa (false flax)
Lineage: Eukaryota; Viridiplantae; Streptophyta; Magnoliopsida; Brassicales; Brassicaceae
Source: RefSeq, a predicted model, not a curated record